GAUGAACGCUGGCGGCGUGCCUAAUACAUGCAAGUCGAGCGAACGGACGAGAAGCUUGCUUUUCUGAUGUUAGCGGCGGACGUGUGAGUAACACGUGGAUAACCUACCUAUAAGACUGUGAUAACUUCGGGAAACCGGAGCUCAUAUCGGAUAAUAUUUUGAACCGCAUGGUUCAAAAGUGAAAGACGUUCUUGCUGUCACUUAUAGAUGGAUCCGCGCUGCAUUAGCUAGUUGGUAAGGUAACGGCUUAUCAAGGCAACGAUGCAUAGCCGACCUGAGAGGGCGAUCGGACACACUGGAACUGAGACACGGUCCAGACUCCUACGGGAGGCAGCAGUAGGGAAUCUUCCGCAAUGGGCGAAAGCCUGACGGAGCAACGCCGCGUGAGUGAUGAAGGUCUUCGGAUCGUAAAACUCUGUUAUUAGGGAAGAACAUAUGUGGAAGUAAAUGUGCACAUCUUGACGGUACCUAAUCAGAAAGCCACGGCUAACUACGUG
RNAcentral lists this ribosomal RNA (497 nucleotides) under uncultured bacterium. RNAcentral's name for it is "partial 16S ribosomal RNA". It matches the Rfam family "Bacterial small subunit ribosomal RNA", at positions 28 to 507 of the family's 1533-position model. The record is from RNAcentral.